RNAcentral lists this long non-coding RNA (565 nucleotides) under Phoenix dactylifera (date palm). Its description in RNAcentral is "long non-coding RNA (PDAC_LNC018759)". Lineage: Eukaryota; Viridiplantae; Streptophyta; Magnoliopsida; Arecales; Arecaceae. The record is from RNAcentral.
AUCUAUCUGAACCUUGUGUUUUGGACAACUCUAAUUAUCAGUGAAUAGUGAAAUAUUUAGUCUACUUUAAUUUCUUAUUAACAUGUUCUGGUUCAGAUUAUCAGCUUCGAGUGCCCUCUAGGUUUAUGCCCUAGGAGAGCAUGCCGCCAUGUCACGUGGCCGACCUAAGUAUUGGGUUUGGGGCAUGAUAGCUUAUUUGGCUAGGGGCGCAGUAAGGGUUUAACAUAUGGCACCAACAGAAGUGUUGAGCUCCAAUCUUCCAGUCAACUUUCAGCAAGUAUGAUAUUCAAGUUUUGACUUACCUGAAAUCAAUAGUUUAGAUCUUGAUUCCAUACCCCAUCCCAAUUUGCUUCAGGAUAGUACAGUACUACGGUGGGACAAUAUGGUUAGGAUGUAUUGAAAGUUUGAAACAUCCAACAACAACAUGAAGAAAGAAAGAAAAAAAAGUUGUAUCCCGAAUUGUCCCAAUGUCAGGAUGCAACCAAGACCGUCGAAAUUUCCUUAUUCAAGAGAGUGUCACUGUUCUGUAGAUGUCUCAAGUCCUGAUCUCUUGUUGGAAUGGUAC